This is a long non-coding RNA of Ipomoea nil (Japanese morning glory), 131 nucleotides long. RefSeq lists it as uncharacterized. The transcript is spliced from 4 exons. Lineage: Eukaryota; Viridiplantae; Streptophyta; Magnoliopsida; Solanales; Convolvulaceae. The record is from RefSeq and is a predicted model, not a curated record.
AAAAUAGAUUUUAUCAUUACAACGCUUCAGCCAAAGGCCUUGUGGUCGAGCAGCAUAGCUGUGGCCCCUCAAAUGAGAGGUCUCAGGUUCGAACCCCAGUGUGAGGGCUUUGACUCUUUGUGCUUCAGUAG